RNA transcript from Dama dama (fallow deer), 6216 nucleotides. It is a transcript of the gene named TAR DNA binding protein, with no coding region annotated. Lineage: Eukaryota; Metazoa; Chordata; Mammalia; Artiodactyla; Cervidae. The transcript has 8 exons. The record is from RefSeq and is a predicted model, not a curated record.
GGAAGCCGGUGGGAGAGGACGAUGGCCGAAGGGGGAGGAGGCGGCCCUAGCGCCAUUUUGUGGGAGCGAAGUGGUAGCUGGGCUGCUCUUGGAUUCCUCCCUGCUUCAGUCUCACUGUCGGGCUUCCUAGCAGCGGCCUAGCGGAGAAACAAAGAUGUCUGAAUAUAUUCGGGUAACAGAAGAUGAGAAUGACGAGCCCAUUGAAAUACCAUCGGAAGACGAUGGGACAGUGCUGCUGUCCACGGUUACAGCCCAGUUUCCAGGGGCAUGUGGGCUGCGCUACCGGAAUCCAGUGUCUCAGUGUAUGAGAGGUGUUCGUCUGGUAGAAGGAAUUCUGCACGCCCCCGAUGCUGGCUGGGGGAAUCUGGUGUAUGUUGUCAACUAUCCCAAAGAUAACAAAAGAAAAAUGGAUGAAACAGAUGCUUCAUCAGCAGUGAAAGUGAAAAGAGCGGUCCAGAAAACGUCUGAUUUGAUAGUGUUGGGUCUCCCGUGGAAAACAACCGAACAGGAUCUGAAAGAUUACUUCAGUACCUUUGGAGAAGUUCUUAUGGUUCAGGUCAAGAAGGAUAUUAAAACUGGUCAUUCAAAAGGGUUUGGCUUUGUUCGCUUCACGGAAUAUGAAACCCAGGUGAAAGUAAUGUCACAACGACAUAUGAUAGAUGGACGAUGGUGUGACUGUAAACUUCCAAAUUCUAAGCAAAGCCCAGAUGAGCCUUUGAGAAGCAGAAAGGUGUUUGUUGGGCGUUGUACAGAGGACAUGACUGCUGAUGAACUGCGGCAGUUCUUUUGCCAGUAUGGAGAAGUGGUAGAUGUCUUCAUCCCCAAACCGUUCAGGGCUUUUGCCUUUGUUACGUUUGCAGAUGAUCAGGUUGCCCAGUCUCUUUGUGGAGAGGACUUGAUCAUUAAAGGAAUCAGCGUACAUAUAUCCAAUGCUGAACCUAAGCACAAUAGCAAUAGACAGUUAGAAAGAAGUGGAAGAUUUGGUGGUAAUCCAGGUGGCUUUGGGAAUCAGGGUGGAUUUGGAAACAGUCGAGGGGGUGGAGCGGGUUUGGGAAACAAUCAGGGUAGUAAUAUGGGUGGAGGGAUGAACUUUGGUGCUUUUAGCAUUAACCCAGCAAUGAUGGCUGCAGCCCAGGCUGCUCUGCAGAGCAGCUGGGGUAUGAUGGGCAUGUUAGCCAGUCAGCAGAACCAGUCUGGCCCAUCAGGUAAUAACCAAAGCCAAGGCAACAUGCAGAGGGAGCCAAAUCAGGCUUUUGGUUCUGGAAAUAACUCUUACAGUGGUUCUAAUUCAGGUGCAGCAAUUGGUUGGGGAUCAGCAUCAAAUGCAGGGUCAGGCAGUGGUUUUAAUGGAGGCUUCGGCUCUAGCAUGGAUUCUAAAUCUUCUGGCUGGGGAAUGUAGACAUUGGGUUACGGUUAGUUGGUAUACUGGUGGGAAUUCAAAUUUUUCUAAACUCAUGGUAAGUAUAUUGUAAAAUAACAUAUGUAAGAAUUUUCAAAAUUGGUUUGUUCAGUGUGGAGUAUAUUCAGCAGUAUUUUUGACAUUUUUCUUUAGAAAAAGAGGAAGAGCUAAAGGAAUUUUAUAAGUUUUGUUACAUAAAGGGUUGAAAUAUUGAGUGUUUGAACGUGAACUGCUGUUUGCCUGAUUGGUAAACCAACACACUACAAUUGAUAUCAAAGGGUUUCUCCUGUAAUAUUUUAUCCCUGGACUUGUCAAGUGAAUUCUUUGCAUGUUCAAAAUGGAAACCAUUGAUUAGAACUACAUUCUUUUCUCCUUGUUUUAAUUUGAACCCCGCCAUAUGGAUUUUUUUUCCUUAGGAAAAUCUCCUCUUUGGAGAUGAAGGUGUCACAGUGCUUGGUUCUUUUUUUUGUUUUGUUUUUGUUUUUGUUUUAACACUUGUCUCCCUUCAUAUACAAAAGUACAAUAUGAAGCCUUCAUUUAAUCUCUGCAGUUCAUCUCAUUUCAAAUGUUUAUGGAAGAAGCACUUCAUUGAAAGUAGUGCUGUAAAUAUUCUGCCAUAGGAAUACUUCUGUCUACAUGCUUUCUCAUUCAAGAACUCGCCAUCAUGCUGCGCAGGCUGCGUCUUUGACGUUUUUAAUAAGUCUGGGUGACCGCACCUAAAAUGCACUUGCACUAUUACUCAGCAGCAGUAACAUGGUAACACUUAAAAUGGUAUUCGGGGACCUCCAAAGACUAAACUGACAAGCCUUCAAGAAGCCCAGGGGUAAGUUAACUUUGUCAAUGGCAUGGUUUUAAUCCCUUAUUUACACUUGUAUAAAUCUAGUUACCAGUCUUAGAAGGCUUUCAAUGUUGAGUAGCCUUCUGUUAACAUGUUUAUGGUACUACAUAGCUAUGGGUAUUUAAUUCUACCCUAAAAAAAAAAAAAAAUUGAAGUUUAGAAGUAAACUAUUUGGCAAAGAUGUUUUUAAAGUCUAUUUGGUCAUCUAAAUGCAUUCAUUCUAAAAACUUUUUUGAACCAGUUGAAUAAAAAUUUUUGUUGCCACCACAGUUUAGUGUCUGGAGUCUUACUGGAAAAAUACAGUUUCUUUAUUUAUGUGACAGAGAUGCUGGAAAGUUACCUUUAAAAAGUGAGUCUCUAGAAGUUGCACUUUAUAUGUACAAGAGAAGUUAGUUGAAAUCACAGUGAAUUUCUACAUAAUGAUGGUGACUCUGGCUAGAAUGAGAAAUUUUGUUGAGUGUUAGGUGUUAAAACUUUUUAGGGAGGCCAAUUAAAUGAAAUAUUUCAAGGUUAGGUCAGGGCUCAAAUUUUGUCCUUUGGAAAAAGAUGUUGAGUACAUAGUAAUUCAGAUGUAUGUGAUAAUUAGAAUAAUUUUUUGUUGUUGAUUACUAGGAGAGUAACUCUUAACUGUGUAUUUAAGUUCUGUACUCAGCUGUUAUAUGAUCUGUAAUCUAUUUUUUAAAGUGUACCCAAGUAUUUCAUGUUUGUGGUAAGAAGAAAAAAACACUACAUUUACCAAUAAUACCACCAUUUAUUUUUAAUGUAUUUCAUCUUAUGGAAAUGCCACUUUUGAUUCAACUAACUGUCUUCUGAAUUUGAACAUUAUUUAGGUUAUUUCCAAGUGCUAGGAAUAUUCUCACAGCUAAAUUAAAAUCUUAGCAUUGUAAUUACCAGGUCAAAGACUAUGCAUGCUUUUAAGACUUGUGAAAUAUAUUGCCAGAUUGUCCUUUAGAAAGUCUGUUGUCUUUGACGAUGUGAAAUAGUGCUGUUCGUGUUCUUUGUUUGGCAGUUUUUUCUAAUUAAAAAAUUAUAGUGUUGGUUUUAACAUGGAAAUCAGUCUAUACCUAGGCCAAAGUGUUGCUAUUUCCAAUUUAUCUACCCAAGAAAAACAUUCAAAGUAACUCAUGAACCAAUACUGCUGUAAUAUGUAACACUCUCAGAUCAAUAAGAACAAAUACAAAAACAGUUAAAGAACAUGAACAGGAAAUUUCCAGAAAUGCAAAUAGAUAGUAGAAAAAGACACUGGACUUCGUUAAGUAAGUGCAGAUUUAAUCCAUGAGUUUGUAAUGGAUUGGCCAAGAUGAGUAUCACUACAGUGGCUUAUGUCCCCUUGAAUCACAGAGUUAAGUGGUGGAAAAGUGGCUAGUGGACACGUGCCUGAUAGGCAGGCUCACCUGCAGUCUGGGUCGGGUGGGGUGGAUCAGCAGCGCUCGUGUUCAUGUUUCUCAGGUCAAUUUGCCGCUAAGAUCUUUUACGGGUAUUUUUUUAAAACAAAGAAGCACGUACUGACUGAAGACACAAAGUUAAAAAUUACUAUUAAUAAUUCUCUUGAUCCAGGGAAUGUAGUUUAUGACUUUGGUGUAGACCCCAUACUGAUCUGCUUCCCCACAAUUAAUGGAACCCCAGGACACUAUUCCUCCCACAAACCACUUCUGGGUCUCAUUAUCUAGAAACACUAAUGCCCCCCCACUGUCACCUCUACAGCUGUCCUUGCCCCCACUUUGCAAGCCAGCGCAAAGCAUGUUAUCAGUUACCCUUCCCUCUGGAUAGGACUUCUUUUCGUAGGCAGCAGUACAUUUUUGAUGGUCAACAACUGGUAUGUCAACAAACUUUAGAUUUCUGGCAAGAAACCCCCUUUGGGUUAAUCCCCAUCCAGAUGCAGUUCCGAUGUCAUUUGUUCUCAUGAAAGAUUCCGCUUCUUUUCUUGGCAAACAAAUAGGCAUGAUGUUGCUGUUGAUUACAACUUUGUUCUUCAGUUUAAUCAGUGCUAUGUCAUUAUCAUAACCAGCAUCAUGAAUGUAACUUUCAUGUAUAAAAAUGGCCUCGGCCCAGGCUUGUGUAUAAUUAGGUGAUAUUCUCUUCAGGGCCCCCAUUCUGAUCUGCAGGGAGGCAGCAUCUUCUCUUUGGUCAUAAACAGCAUGAGCAGCCGUUAGGAUCCAGUUGUCGUGCAGCAGUGCACCUGCUGCCAUGGUUUUACCUAGUAACAGCGCUUGCCAAGGAAAAUAACCAAGUUUUGCAUUUUGUCCUCCAUAUAUACGACCUUCUGUAGUACGAGUGGAUAUUCCACACACUGGGGAAAGAAGCAGAUGUAUAGAGCCUUUACAGAAACCUGAUGGUGUUUUUCUCCAAUUAUUACCACUUUGAAGUUAUCAGUUACUCAUGUUUGAUGUCAGCCAAAGAUUGCAUCACACAAAUUGGUGUUUGUCCACCUAUACAGGCAAGUGAGUGUAGUUUAUGUUGUUUUACUGCUUAAAACAUUGUUCAAAGAUCUGAUAAAACCAUUUGGUGUUUCUUAGCUCCUCAGAAAAUGAAGUGAGUGAAAAUUAAUUUGUAGAAGCUAAUUCAUUUUGCCAAAGUAACUUGGUCUUAGGACUGGGAAGUGUUCAGUAGGGCUAAUAGGAAUUGUCUGAGCUGGUAUGCGCAGGAAGUGAAUUGCAAAUGGAUAGUAGAAAAAGACACUGGACUUUGUUAAGUCCAUUGCUUCUAUUUUCCUGCUUGUAAAAUGGAGUAUCUACCAUGAGUUCUGGGAAAGCAGAAACUAGGGUCAAUAUCAUAUGAUUUGCUUCUAUUUUCCUGCUUGUAAAAUGGGGUAUCUACCAUGUAGUUCUGGGAAAGCAGAAACUCGGGUCAAUAUCAUAGGAUUUGCAGACUACUUUCACCUUUGAACAUUUAAAUGUUUUAAAAAUAAGAAUGUUACAGUUGUAGCCAGGAACCUUCAGUUUCAGGAAUUAUUUCUGGUCUAGUUGUUCCUUCCAGACACUAGACUUUAUAUUGCUAACUGAAUAUACUUAUUAAUGUAACAAAUAUGUUUCCUCUUGUGGCAGAAUACUCUUAUGAAAGCUUACAAACAGUGUGUCAACUGAGAAGACUAAAUAAACCCAGUAGCAGGGGUAAUGGAUAUAUUGUUACUUUUCUAACUUUUUUUCUUUUUUGUCAACUAUAUCUUCAGAGCCAAUUCUGGUAAAAACUUUUUCUAAGUACUAUUAAAAGGCAAAUUGCAUUAAUGUUUAAAAACUAGAUGUCAUUGGAAACAAUUGCUUAGGGAAAUAAUGAGGUUAUUAGCUUUGAGGUUAUGGCUUUGGUAAUAGCAUUUCUAUAGAGAAGAAACGUAACAGAAGAACUCAUGUUUAUAAAUGUAUAAAUGGUUCAAGAUAAUUUUAAGUAUUUAAUUUUUUAUGCUUGCCUAGUUGUAAGGUCAAAAAUAAUCAAAUGACUGAUGCAGUCAGCACCUAACAAACCUCUCCAUAUGGAAAGGGGUAAUGAGAACAUACUAUUUGGAAAUAAUAAGUUGGUCUAAGAGCCAAGUGCUGAAGUUACAUUUCUGCCUACACAGCUAAAGCGCUGCUUACUGUCUUCAGUUCUACUUUCCAUCAAUUACAAAUCUCUUGUAUAAAUGUAUCCAUUACCAGGCUCACAGACUGGGAGUGAUUUUUCUCCUUUGGAGCUCGUCCAGAAUCCAUCAGCCUCACACACAUAUUUACCUGCAAAUCAUUGGAAAAACAAAAAUGUUUAACUGCAUGUAAACGGUGUUUGUCAUUUGCUUGAAUACCCCCUUGGAAAAUGUUGAUUCUUGAGCAUCAGUGGGAAAUAGAGGUGUCUGAAUAACCGUUUUACAUGAUUUCAUAAAUAGGAGGUCUCUGCAUUACCAUGUUUGCUUGCAAAGUGGAAACCUUUUAGAUGUGUAACUUGAAUAUGUAUCAAGAUCUCAAGUGCUUAAUGAUAAGGUUUUGACUUGUUAAAUUAAACCAUUUGGAAUAUA